RNAcentral lists this ribosomal RNA (253 nucleotides) under uncultured bacterium. Its description in RNAcentral is "partial 16S ribosomal RNA". It matches the Rfam family "Bacterial small subunit ribosomal RNA", at positions 524 to 776 of the family's 1533-position model. The record is from RNAcentral.
UACGAAGGGGGCUAGCGUUGCUCGGAAUCACUGGGCGUAAAGGGUGCGCAGGCGGGUCUUUAAGUCAGGGGGGAAAUCCUGGAGCUCAACUCCAGAACUGCCUUUGAUACUGAGGAUCUUGAGUUCGGGAGAGGUGAGUGGAACUGCGAGUGUAGAGGUGAAAUUCGUAGAUAUUCGCAAGAACACCAGUGGCGAAGGCGGCUCACUGGCCCGAUACUGACGCUGAGGCACGAAAGCGUGGGGAGCAAACAGG